RNA transcript from Lethenteron reissneri (Far Eastern brook lamprey), 7480 nucleotides. RefSeq lists it as uncharacterized. Lineage: Eukaryota; Metazoa; Chordata; Hyperoartia; Petromyzontiformes; Petromyzontidae. The record is from RefSeq and is a predicted model, not a curated record.
CGCCUCCACCGAAACUGAUUCUUGCGCGUGUGGUAUACAGCUCGUUAUUUUUCAAUUUUUCGCGAAUCUUAGCCCCCUUUUAACGUUGAUUUUUGUUUGUAACCUAAUCCGCAGGGUUUUUUGUCACGCCUUCGCACGCGCCACAGUAGCCCGCGGGUCGUGGCGCUGUCCGGGUUUCCCUCGCUCUCGUUAUCGAGAGAGACCGAGGAGUGGAGGCCCAAGCCUCGGUGUUGUCUGAAUUCUCCCCCGGGCAGGGGGCGCCUGAACCCGGCUGGGAGCGUGAUUAGAAUUCACAGUGCAGAUAACACUGUAACCAUUUUUUUGUUUCUGGGUAGUGUUAUUUCCUAAUUGCUUAUGCCUCGAAAGUACAGAAAAUGUAUAUUAUUCCCCACAAACUUUGCUUUUGUGACCAGGACAGUGAUAUUUAGAAAUUUAUCUAUUUUCCUGAACAUUCAAGAUAGAUUCUGUGCUGAGUAUACUUGGAGUAACUUCUAGAAUAUUCUAGAACUUUCCAGUAAUAUAAAUAAUAUAAAUGCAGGGGUCUUAAGCCCACCAGUUCAGUUUAGUUCCAGCUGCCUAAGUGGAUACAUAUCUGCAUUUUUCUGAGAUGGCAUCAAGAGGCUGCAAGCAUCCGGCAGACGCAUUUUGCUAUGUCUGCGGCCAAUUUAUCAAGACAAGAGCGAGAAAGUACUCUGUGGAAGCAUCUGCUAGGAUGUGUGAGGCCUACAAGGCAUAUUUCGGCAUGCCUGUCGGGGAUCAAGACAAACCUUGGGCACCUCAUUUCACCUGCGAACAAUGCAAAAAAACUCUGGAAGGAUGGUACAGAGGGGAAAAGAGAGCCAUGAAGUUCGCUAUCCCAAGAAUUUGGCGGGAACCCACUGACCACUCAAGCAACUGCUACUUCUGCAUGGUGGACCCUUCCAAACGUCGGACUGGCAAGAAUGCACCUGCCAUCACGUAUCCGGACCUUCCUUCAUCCAUCGCCCCGGUGUCACACUGCCAUGAGCUUCCUGUACCCACUCCUCCGGAGAGAGAGCGGCCGUCUUUAGAAGAGAGCAGCAAGUCAGAGAGCGAGGAAGACGUAGAUCCAGAUGACAAUUUAAGAGGUGGAGCUGAGGAGAGAAACCCAUACUACCCCAACCAAAAAGACCUCAACGACUUGAUCAGAGAUCUUGGUCUCAGUAAGUCCAAUGCCGAGCUUUUGACAUCUAGGCUCAAGCAAUGGAACUUGUUGUAUUAAAGGAAGCGUCACCAACCUUUUUGCAGCUUCUUCACCUGUCGAGAUGGGCUCUGCUGCCACAAUGUGACCAAUCUGUUCGAGGCAAUCGGAAUCGCCUGUAACCAGAAUGAGUGGUGCCUCUUCAUUGACAGCUCAUCCAGGAGCCUCAAAGCCGUGCUGCUCCAUAAUGGUAACAAGUACCCAUUUCUUCCCCUGGCUCACUCGGUGCACCUCAAAGAGGAUUACAACAGCAUCAAGACCUUGCUGGAUGCCUUAAAGUAGGAUGAGUACGGCUGAGAGGUCAUCAGAGAUUUCAAAAUGGUGGCAUUCCUGAUGGGUCUCAAAGGCGGUUUUACCAAGUUUCCCUGCUAUCUUUGGCUUUGGGACAGCAGGGACACCAAGGCGCACUACCACAGGCGGGACUGGCCACAGCGGACCGAGUUCUUUGUGGGGAGGAACAACGUCAAGUGGGAGCCACUGGUGGACCCCCAGAAGGUGCUUGAUGCCACCACUCACACAUCAAAUUGGGCGUUAUGAAACAAUUUGUCAGAGCUGUAGAUAAGGAGUCGGCAGUCUUCAAGUUCCUUCAAGACUUCUUCCCUAAGCUGUCUGAGGCCAAGGUCAAAGCCGGUGUCUUUGUCGGACCAUAGAUGAAGAUCCUGGAGUGCAAUGAAUUCCCCAAGAAGCUCACUAGUAAGGAGAAAGUGUUGUAACAGUUUUGUUGCAGUGGUUCGUGGCUUCCUGGGCAGUCAUAAGGUCGAAAACUAUGCAGAGCUGGUUGAGACUCUGGUGAAGAACUACAGCAUAAUGGGCUGUAUGAUGCCCCUCAAAGUCCAUAUCCUUGAUGCUCAUCUUGAUAAAUUUAAGGAGAACAUGGGAGUGUACUCGGAGCAGCAAGGUGAGCACUUCCACCUGGAUAUACUGGACUUUGAACACCGCUACCAAGGACAGUAGAACGAGAACAUGAUGGGAGACUACAUUUGGGGGCUGAUUCGUGAAAGUGAUUUACAGUACAGGGUGUUUCAAAAGAUGGGCCCGAUUUGAAAUCGCGAUAUCUCUGCAACCAUGAACCGCCCAUGAAUGAAACUACCACUUGAAAGGGCAGGGCAUAUAGUUUAAAAUAAUUACCCCUUGAUGCCUCUCCCAGCGCACAAAUAGCCCCUAGCCUCAGUCAUUCGCAAGAUGGUGACCCCGCAACACAAGGCGUUUUGUGUUCUGCAGUUCAGCAAGACUGAAUCCGUAAUUGCGGUGCAGCGUGCGUUUCAACGGUGUUUUGGCAUUGAUCCGCCAAUGUCAAAGAGCAUUCGUCGUUGGUACCGACAAUUUGAGGAAACAGGCUGUUUAUGUAAGGGGAAGAGCACAGGGUGACCACGCACCUCAGAGGAAAACGUGAGAAGAGAGGCGUUUGGGACGAAUUCAACUAUUGUCUCGAUGUUGUCCGUACAGCAGGUGGAGGGCACAUAGAGCAUUUAUAAAAUGGUUAGUAAAACUUUAUAACUCAUUGAGCCGUUUGGUUUGCAACUUUUUGUGUUAUUGUAACAUGUUGCCAUCGUGAAAUAUACUGCUUUGAAAUUGGGUCCAUCUUUUUUAAACACCCUGUAUUAUCGUAAAUCUCGAAAAGCUACUCACUUCUAAAUCUUUUGUUAUUUAUGUAUUACUUUAGUAUAAAUACAUGUUAAUUUUGAAUCAUAUCUUCUUGGUUCUUUCGGUAAAGUUACGUAGAAGGGAAAUAAAUAAUAAAAAUAAAACAUUAAAUUAUUCUCACGACGUUUCGGCCACAACGCAAGCACCCAUCCUCAGGUGAAGACCAGGUCUGUCGGGGAGUGAGUUUUACUUGUGAUCACUUUUUCGCAUUGAACAAUUCAAAAUACCGGUGGCAUAUUUGGCAAGUGGUCCUUCAAAGCGCAGCACACAACAAGACUUGGAGUAAGUGCUGUUAGCGAGCAGCACCUAUGUAGGCCGGCACGGUACACGAGGGGGUGGGGUGGCCAGCACCACGCCUGACUGCCUUUGUCUCCCCAGUGGCAAUGUUUUAAACACCACACCAGGUACUCAUUUUAGAUUGAGUCGACCUAGAGGAGGCCCAGGACAGAGAGGUGGUUUAUUGAAUAUGCAGUAUGCGUGUCGCUCCUUAUGAUAUUACAUUUACAAAACUUCAAAUUAAGAUUGAUAUUACAUUUGUUCAGGAUUACAUUUUUGUUAAGUGCAUUGUUUGCCACCGGACAAUUGCCCAUUAUAGGCGGAAUAAUCAAACGAAACUAACAACGAGCAGAACACCGGUCAAAGUUGGCAGAGUGGGGAGCACAGGUGAUGCAUCUGUAGGGGUGUUACGGGAGGGCAAACAAACACACAAGGGGUGGUUACGUCCGCACGCGGAAGGGUGCUUACAUCCACGUCCGCAUCGGUUAGCCCUGGGGGGCUGUAACGGCGCUGUGAUCCACCACGGCCCUACCCCUCGGGGGGGAGUUGCUAUAUAAGGCGGUGAGCCGGUGGGCUCGGGGUUCAGUAUUCAGCUUAACCAGUGAAGAGUGAAGACCGGCUACAUAGGCCCUGGGACUCCCCUGGCUCGCUGUCCUUCUAAGGACCGACCAGGGCAAGCCAGUGGUGUGGCCCCGAGAGCCCAGAGCCAAUGCUCUUGUAAGAGCCGGUCUGGUUGGUGAUCCUAGCUUGGCCAGAGCUGGAUCAGCUAGCCUCCCCUAGAUCUCGAGUGGAGGACCUGGGAGCAGGCUAGACAGGCUAGUGUUAGUGGGGUCUCCCUGUUAGACAGGUGAAGGGGCUGUUACCCCUUCAAGUGUUGUAUACAUUGGCCUGUGUUGAGUGUAAAGUAUAAUAAAUAAGUGUGCCUCCGACUACGUCGUCUACGUCUCAUCGAACUCACUACACAUCUGCCAGUCGUCUCGGUCAACCCCAUGGCACCUGGGGUCUGUCCCGUGCCCUGCCCUCGAGCCUUCGUCACUUCACGUGGCCCUCACUGUGCACCUUGCCUGGCACAAGCACUGUGCUGUUAAUCGCACCUGUUGUUCAGCUCUUCUGGAGGUGAGGGUUGGUGGAUCAUCUAUAUAUAGUAAAGGGAAAUUUGUGAAUGUGUGUUUGAAAUGUUUAGCAUAAUUCCCAAAAUGUAACAAACUUUAAAUUUGGCAUGUGGGUAGCUUCCAGACUGUACACAAUGCAAAAAGUAUAAAAUAGGCUUGUAUUUUGGGUAUGUUUUGCACGGCAAGUGAGCGGGGACGUCACAUCUGUGAUGUCACCCGCAUGCGGCAGCGUUACCAGCGUUACACAGUGUGCCUGCUGACGUCAUGCACCCCCUCCCCCACCCUCCGCGUAGGCCGUGUAUUAAUCCAAGACAAUAAUCCAAGUCCCGGGCGAAGCCGGGUAGUAAAGCUACUACAAAUAUAAAACAUAGAUGUGAAACUCUCAACAGGAUUUCCUGGAGAAGGCUGUGCAGGAAAGUGUGGACUUUGUUGCAUCUGUAUGGAAUUGUAAUGUAGCCCCCUCGCGUGUGUGUGGGAUUUCUCCGUGUGCUCCGGAUUCCUAUCCCAUGCAUCAACAUUAAUUGUCUGUGAGAGGAUCGCAGAGCUUUAGCAAUUGGCUGGCUGGCCUGCCUUUCUGUUUGUGGUUUCCUGCGCCUUUGAAUAAUAGCAAAGAAUCCGUGCACAUUACAAAUGUGUGUAUUUUUUGUGGUGACAUCGCCAAUUUUCUGCUCUUAUUGUAAGUGAGCGUUUGGUUAAAGAGUUUGUGAUGUGUAUGCAUAUCAUCGUGCGAUAUUUCUUAAGGAUCCCGCGCUCGGUCUCUGCAAUGUUGACGCUUUUGUUGCUGUGCUCAUGCACCAUGGAUCUCCCUUGUAAAAUAGUGUGCGUUGUGUCUCUCUCCGUGGUCGUUUUUCUCCGGAUCCUCCAGGUUUCCCUCCGUUUAGAAUCGACAUCACACGAUUAGAGUAUUUGGCUGCUAUAGAUUUCCACGUGAUGAUAAGCCACUUCGUUGAGUUAUCAUUUGUGGCCAGGUCACUUCUCAAAAAGAGCUGUACAGCUCAGUGGGCCUUACCUGGUGAAAUAAAAUAGUUCAGUUUCAAUUUUUAAAUAGCUGGGCAACUUUCUAAACGGGAUCAUCCAUGCAACAAAUCAAAAUAACCUAAACUAUUGUAUGUGUGUGUAAUUGAGAUUGUGUAAUGUUUGUGCUUUCUCAAUAUUGCGUGACUAUGCUCUGAGUGAGAUUGUAAUGUGUAGACUUCGGUAUUAGUGUACUUUGAGUAUUAGUAUAGUGCAGAACACUAUCAUUGUGGUGCCAGUUCUAAUGUGUGCUCGACAGUAUCAACACUUAAAGGUGGAGGUGACUUAUUGGAUGAUCUUUUUAUUUUGUGUUUGUGUGUGCAUGCAUGUAUGCCAUAUGUAGAGUUGUUCAAUAAGCAAACAGUACUCGGGCAACAUGCUCAUCCUAGUCCUUAUGUUUAUAAUUCACCAUGUGAGAAAACAUAGUCGAUGGAGUCUGAUUAAAUUUCUUAACCAUACCAACCGUUUGGGAUGAUAUGGUGAUGUAUGAAUCUUACGUGUGCCAUUAUUGUGUGCAAACGGCUUUCAGUCAUGUAUAUUAAAAAUGAGCACCCUAGUCAUUUAACAGUUUUUCUGGGUGGCCCUGAUCUAAAACAUAACCAUUAAGAAAUACGUCCACAAUGGUCGUGGCAUUUUUGGUAUAUUAGGGGCUAUGCUACUGGCCACCUUGUAAGAUAUUUCAUUGCUCCGAGUAAAUACUGAUUUCUGUUCUUGGUUUUAGGUAAGGGUCCCAAUAUGUCCGUUGUGAUUACUUCAUUUACUCUUGAUACUGAAAUAGAUUUCAACGGAACCUGUCUGGGUUUUGGAGGUUGGUUUUUUGGCUACAUUUAUUACACAGUGCAGCCCAUUCUACAUCUUUCUACAUACCAGGCCAUGAAUAAUAUCUAUUUAUGUGACCAUAUGUACGAUGUACCCCAUGAUACUCUGCAUAAAUAUGGUUGUGUCCAUGAUACAACACACAUUUACGCAGUACCUCCGGUAGAACAAUGUCUACCUUUUGUCAAUGGAUUGAUAUACAUUGUCAGUCCCUGCCACUCCACGUAUCUCAUAAGUCGAAAUUUGCUCUUAAUUUUCCUAUGUCUACAUCUUGUUCUUGAUAGUGAACCCAAUUUAUCUAUGGUAGUCCUAAAUCACAUGGUAAGGUCGUCCCUUGCUGAAUAGUCAUUACCGUUGAUGGCGGAGGUGAAGCAGAUCGUACUCGUCCAGUCAAACAUGCAAAUGGAGCCAGAUGGUCGUUGGUGUCUGCAUGCGGUAGUUUAGAUAAGGCAUCAACGUUGGUACGUUGUAUUCCUGCUCGAUGAACUAUCAUAAAAUUCCUGUAAAUGCUCUACCCAACGAGUCAUUUUACGAGAGUGCAUACUCUAAACCAGUGGUUCUUAACCUUGUUGGAGGUACUGAACCCCACCAGUUUCAUAUGCGCAUUCACUGAACCCUUCUUAAUUGGAAAAAUAAAAUAUGAUUUUUUUCAAAUUCAAAACAUAGGUAUAUGUUUUACUGGUGCACAAAAUGAACCGUGCAUCAACAUCACUGUUCAAAGAACAAAACCAGCAAAACAUGAUUUUCACACAAAAACAAAAACAUAAUAAUGAAUACUUACUGCAAAUCAGUGUGACUUCUGCUGUUGCCUUUCAGAGACCAGUUCAGAAAUGUGCGGCUUCACCUUGGCAAGUGCCACUCAUGUCAUUUUCGCAACAAAGUCUGUUCCUUUUCUUCGUUUUUAAGUGCCGCAUCCUCGAAAAGGAUUGCUCGCAAAGAUAUGUUGUAACAAACGGUAUGAAAAUCUCCAGGGCUUUCUUAGCAAUAACAGGGUACGUUAUCAUUUGUUGACACCAAAAGUUGAGAGCGUUGUUGUUCUGAAGAGUUGCUGUUGAACCUGGCUCUGCUGAAUUUCAAUGAUUUCGUCGAGGUAUUCUUCAUUGACAUCUGCUGUCUCAACACUAAACGUGAACUGCUGUCUCACCCAUGCUGGAUAUGACUCUCUUGUAGGGAAGUAUCCGUCAAGAGACUUUGCAAGCUCAUCUAAGUGCGUGGCAAUUGCUUGCUUCAGUUCCGCGGGUACAGAAAUGUCUCCGAUUCCAGAUACAUCUUCGAUCUUACUUACAUAGUCGUCCAGCAGGGGAAAGUUUGCGAAGUUAUCGUUCUCUGUUCGUCGUUUCCAUAACGGUAGCUUUUUUUUAAAAGCCUUCAGGUUUUCUUCCGCUUCAAUGAUGUUGAC